UCUUCGAUAGCUCAGUUGGUAGAGCGGUGGACUGUAGAUCCAUAGGUCACUGGUUCAAAUCCGGUUCGAAGGAA
Non-coding RNA from Cydia pomonella (codling moth), 74 nucleotides. NCBI's taxonomy places the organism in Eukaryota, Metazoa, Arthropoda, Insecta, Lepidoptera, Tortricidae. The record is from the annotation of a RefSeq genome assembly.